Molecule: small nuclear RNA, 161 nt
Filed under: Carlito syrichta (Philippine tarsier)
Lineage: Eukaryota; Metazoa; Chordata; Mammalia; Primates; Tarsiidae
Description: U1 spliceosomal RNA (ENSTSYG00000025783.1)
Rfam family: U1 spliceosomal RNA
About the family: U1 is a small nuclear RNA (snRNA) component of the spliceosome (involved in pre-mRNA splicing). Its 5' end forms complementary base pairs with the 5' splice junction, thus defining the 5' donor site of an intron.
Source: Rfam by way of RNAcentral
AUACUUACUUGCAGGAGAGAUACUGUGAUCAUGAAGGUGGUUUUCCCAGGGUGAGGCUUAUCCAUUGCACUGUAGAUGUGCUAACCCCUGCCAUUUCCCCAAAUGUGGGAAACUUGACUGCCUAAGUUGUGGUAGUGGGGUACUGCGUUUGCACUCUCUGA